This 152-nucleotide ribosomal RNA is filed under the name Dorea sp. RNAcentral describes it as "partial 16S ribosomal RNA". It matches the Rfam family "Bacterial small subunit ribosomal RNA", at positions 1 to 131 of the family's 1533-position model. The record is from RNAcentral. Lineage: Bacteria; Bacillati; Bacillota; Clostridia; Lachnospirales; Lachnospiraceae.
UUUUUAUGCGAGAGUUUGAUCCUGGCUCAGGAUGAACGCUGGCGGCGUGCUUAACACAUGCAAGUCGAGCGACGCACUUUGGUUAGACUCUUCGGAUGUAGACUUUAGUGGCUGAGCGGCGGUCGGGGGAGGAACGCGUGGGUAACCUGCCU